UAUCAUACAGAAACUCCAAACGUUUGCUGGCAUCAUCUAGCUUCCUCUUGGUUUGCUGCAGGAGAGAAAAAACAGGGUGUUAGCUGGGCUAUUAUCAAACUGCAAGAUUACACCAAAGGUGAGGAUAGAAGAGACCAUGAUCUUACUGAAUGUACAGAUGGGAAAACAAAGAAGGAAUGUGAAAAAACCUUUGGAAACAGCUUCUGCUUAGCAACGUUGG
This is a long non-coding RNA of Balaenoptera ricei (Rice's whale), 220 nucleotides long. RefSeq lists it as uncharacterized. NCBI's taxonomy places the organism in Eukaryota, Metazoa, Chordata, Mammalia, Artiodactyla, Balaenopteridae. The transcript is spliced from 3 exons. The record is from RefSeq and is a predicted model, not a curated record.